GGAUCAUAAAGGUUCCCAUGUGUCAGAUUUUUCUCUUGCACUUUUUAGUGUGAUGGUUAGUUCUCCACUUUCUACGCUCUCUGUUAAAAAGCUUGCCUGUCUUCAUUCCACUCCACUAAGAACCCACCAACCAGCACAGCUUUCUUUCUUCCUUACACAGCUCUGUUGUUAUACAAAGUCUGCCAGAAUUAGAAUCUGCCUCUAAGAUGCACAAUGUAAUACAUUUCUUGCAGUAGAGUACAUAUCGCAAACAGCAGUAGUUCUUUUAAGUUGAAAGACUGGAAUUCAGAAUAGAACUCAUACACAAACCGGCCUUCCAACGAAAAAAACAAACAGUAAUUAAUGUGGAUAGCUGCAAUGAGAGAUGAAUGACAGCCUUGUUUCAUUAAGCCAAGGACAGGAAGCGUGCUUUGAAUCUGAUAACCAAUCAGAUGCAUUUUACACCAAAGAUAUGGCCAUCCCACCUCCUUCACUCACUAAAAUAUGAACAACAUCCUUAACAAAAGACACUGUCAAGAUGAUCAUGGUAUGGAUUACACUGAUUUUUCUUCAUCGAGGAUAUUCUCUGGUUCCAGUGAAAACAGUUCAGCUUGGUGAACCAGUGACCUUAACAUGUGCUUUGCCCAAAGGGCUCCAGAGUGGAGAAGUCCACUGGUACAAGCAGAAUCACGGGGAUACCCUAAAGUUAAUUAUGACAUCGUUUAAAUCUACACCACCGGAAUAUGGUCCUGCAUUUUCUAAAUCAAGAUUUAAGCAACAUAAUGAUAACAAUUUCAGCAAUGUGACUAUUUUGAAGACCGUCCAAGAGGACGAGGGAAUCUAUCACUGUGGGCUCACAGAGUGGAUUAGGACUAACUGGAGUGGCACAUAUUUGUUUGUAAAAGGAAACAAUCAGAAAGCAUCAGUAGUUGUUCAACAGCUGACAGGAUCAAAUCCAAUCCAUCCAGGAGACACAGUGACUUUCCAGUGUUCAGUCUCUCACUCUGUCAAC
Molecule: long non-coding RNA, 991 nt
Organism: Haplochromis burtoni (Burton's mouthbrooder)
Lineage: Eukaryota; Metazoa; Chordata; Actinopteri; Cichliformes; Cichlidae
Exons: 3
Source: RefSeq, a predicted model, not a curated record